AACGAACGCUGGCGGCAUGCCUAACACAUGCAAGUCGAACGAGACCUUCGGGUCUAGUGGCGCACGGGUGCGUAACGCGUGGGAACCUGCCCUUAGGUUCGGAAUAACUCCCCGAAAGGGGUGCUAAUACCGGAUAAUGUCUUCGGACCAAAGAUUUAUCGCCUUUGGAUGGGCCCGCGUUGGAUUAGCUAGUUGGUAGGGUAAUAGCCUACCAAGGCGACGAUCCAUAGCUGGUCUGAGAGGAUGAUCAGCCACACUGGGACUGAGACACGGCCCAGACUCCUACGGGAGGCAGCAGCGGGGAAUAUUGGACAAUGGGCGAAAGCCUGAUCCAGCAAUGCCGCGUGAGUGAUGAAGGCCUUAGGGUUGUAAAGCUCUUUUACCCGGGAUGAUAAUGACAGUACCGGGAGAAUAAGCUCCGGCUAACUCCGUG
This 433-nucleotide ribosomal RNA is filed under the name uncultured bacterium. RNAcentral describes it as "partial 16S ribosomal RNA". It matches the Rfam family "Bacterial small subunit ribosomal RNA", at positions 29 to 507 of the family's 1533-position model. The record is from RNAcentral.